RNAcentral lists this ribosomal RNA (453 nucleotides) under Triticum aestivum (bread wheat). RNAcentral describes it as "partial small subunit ribosomal RNA". The record is from RNAcentral. Lineage: Eukaryota; Viridiplantae; Streptophyta; Magnoliopsida; Poales; Poaceae.
GUUUCUGAAAGAGGUAUUGAAGUUGAUACAGCCAAGGUUGAUGCUAUUGAAAAGAUGCCAUGCCCCAAGGACAUCAAAGGUAUAAAAAGUUUCCUUGGUCACGCCAAAUUUUAUAGGAGGUUCAUUAAGGACUUAUCAAAAAUUUCUCAGCCUCUGACUAAUUUAUUACAAAAAGGUAUACCAUUUGUAUUUGAUGAUGAUUGUGUAGAAGCAUUUGAAAUACUUGAGAAAGCAUUGAUCUCUGCACCUAUUGUUCAGUCACCUGAUUGGAAUUUACCCUUUGAAAUUAUGUGUGAUGCUAGUGAUUAUGCUGUAGGUGUUGUUCUAGGGCAAAGAGUUGAUAAUAAAUUAAACGUUAUUCAAUAUGCUAGUAAAACCCUAGACAAUGCUCAAAGAAAUUAUGCUACUACUGAAAAAGAAUUCUUAGCAGUUGUAUUUGCUUGUGAUAAGUUC